Molecule: long non-coding RNA, 6298 nt
Filed under: Olea europaea (common olive)
Lineage: Eukaryota; Viridiplantae; Streptophyta; Magnoliopsida; Lamiales; Oleaceae
Description: long non-coding RNA (OEUR_LNC005816)
Source: RNAcentral
UCUGGUUAAAGAAUAAGCGUGAUCAAGAAUAGUGACUCCUCGAAAGAAAAGCUCACGCAUAAGAUCAUCUCUUAGAGCUUGGCUAAACCUACUCAAAGUCGUGAUCUCAUCCUCAAUGACAUGACAUUUGGUUCAAAAUUCCUUUUCAUAUAGAGUACUAAUAGUUAACUCAUAAUCUCUGGUUAAAGAAUAAGCAUGAUCAAGAAUAGAGACUCCUCGAAAGAAAAGCUCACGCAUAAGAUCAUCUCUUAGAGCUUGGCUAAACCUACUCAAAGUCGUGAUCUCAUCCUCAAUGACAUGACAUUUGGUUCAAAAUUCCUCAAAUUGUGCAAUAUAGUCGGUCACUAACCGAUUCCCUUGUUUAAGAGCAGUCCAUUGAGUAUAAACUUCAAAAUCUAGGCAACCAUCAAAAGUAGGAAUGUCUAAUUUAUUGUCUCUAAAAGAACUUUCCUUAUGAUCGUAUUGAAAAUAUUUUUGAUCACCUUGUCGACGACAAUAUUGUUUAUUGUGGGACGCUUUAGAAUUAUGAACAUCAAUCGAAUGAGGGAUUAGCUUAAAAUUGUUCGGAUUAGCUUAAAAUUGUUCAGACUAGCAACUAGAUCUCUACUCUUUUGACGAGUAGCAGCUAUCUCGAUUUGGAAAACGGCUAAUUGAGUUUGUAAGUGUUGCUGGCUAGUGACAAGUUGAGCUAAUUGUCUAGUGAGUGCCUCAAAUUGUGAAGAGUCCGUGUCUAGGUACUGAAACGAGGAGUAACAAGACGACCAGUCGACCACUAUGCAUGCACUGUACUAGCAGCUAAAUGACGUGCAAUAGAGAGAGAUCAAUGAACAAUAAGUGCAAACAAUGAUAAGUAACAACUUGAGCAUUUUUUUUUUUUUUGAAAAUUAGAAUUUGUGGUUAUGUUAAUCCAAAUGUAACAAGCUAAUAAUGCUGAUUCGAAUAAAAUAAAAGGCAAGAAUACAAAUGACGAAUCAAAAUCUUUAACCCCGUGGGGUAAGCAGGGUAACGUAGGAAAUUAUUCAGUCAACAAUUCCAAUCAAGUGGUGUAAAGAUAAAAUUUAUGAUAUAACAGCAGCACAAAUUUUAAUUGAUGCAAUUUUUAAAAUAAAGUAGUAGUAUAAACCAAUAAUAAAAAGGGUUCAAGGACUCCCAGUUGUUUGGGUGUGACUAUCUGUAUGUCGAUUGAUCUGAAUUGCCGAUUUAAGAGCCCCAACUAUGCUUCUGUUCUUCCCUUCAUGUCCAAUGGUUUUAGCCCCUGUUGACUAUAACUUGUGCUGGUUUUGGUGUGGACGUAAAACUAAGUAUGGUGACUGUGGCUUUUAGAUUGUUGAGAUGGACGGGGAAAUAUAUGAGUACGGUAACUGUGGUGGAAGUGUAUGAUCUUGGGUUGGUAGUGGUGGCAUGUGGCGAUGAAGUAGUAGUGCGUUGGAUGCCUGGUUACAAUAGAUAAUGAAGUAGUAGUGUGGUGGUGAUUAGAGGCGGCGGCGACACGAGAGUGGUUGUGAGAGAGGAAUCGGGUGAAACUGUGGGACUAUUUGAUAUUAAUGGAUUGGUUAUAAUCGGGUUUGGUCGAAUAUGUGGGACUGGGCUAGAUAGGAAGGGGUUUGGAUCGUCUUAUAGAGAUGGGCCAGCUCAAGUUAGUGUUUUAGGAGUGGGCUUGUGUCGUAGAGAGUAGGUUGAGUUAAUUGGGCUAAACGAAAUUGGGUCUUGUGUAAGUACGAUUGAAUGCUAGGGUUGGAAUUUGUGGAACAAUACUACAAUUGUAGAGAAGAAACUGCAGCGAACGAGAUUUUUAUUUUUGUGGGNUUAAAAGACAUGGAAGAGUGUGGCUAUGUGAAAGAAACAGGUUUUGUUUGGCUCAAACAGAAGAAGAAAACUGAGCAUAAAUUUGAAAAAAUUGAUAAGAGUUGUUCAAUAUGCAACUGAGAUCACAGUCUAUGUUGAGCCAAACAAAAUCAAGAAACUUACUGGUGUCAAGACUGAGUAGCUAUUCAUUUGGAUGACUCCUAGUGACGUAUAUGUCAACGAUCCGCCUAACGGAAAAAUCACCUUCAAGACUCCGACUGGGCUAUCCCGGUGUUUUCCAGUGGAAGCUUUUGCGGUCGAGGAGGAGAUGGAGGAGGUUAACGAAGUUUAACAACAUGCUGAGGUAAAACCAGCUGUUGAAGUGAAGGAAGUGUAAUUUGGUGUUUUAUCUGUUCUUGUUCGCUCUAGUUCUACUAUGAUCAUGGUAUGAAUAAGUUAUAAAUUAGAAGUUUCAAAAUUUCCUUAUUAUUCUAAAAGACAGUAGACCAACAAUCUUUACGCAUACUGUGCAUUAGCAAGUUUCCUUACUUGAUACAGAAUAUAAAAGAGAUUUCAAAAUCUCUUCUUUUGUUCAAGAAACCCCAAAUUAAGACUCGUGAAGGAUAUCUUGGGUUAACUUCUUCCGGACAAUUUUCCCAAAAGAAUAACAUUGUUGUCACUGGCCUGAAGAAUGAGUUUUUCUAGGAGGUACAUGUUAUUAAAUUUUUAGCUACUUACAUAUAUAGGGUUAGUUCCCUUGGGAUUAUUUUCUUUCUAGUAGCAUCUGAGAAUGAGUUUUUCUGCUUCAGCCAAUACUGAUAGUGAUGUAGGACGAAUUAAAGAAUAGAAAGAAGAAGCAAGAAAGAGGGAAGAACCGAAGAAAAUGGGGGGGAAGAAAUCGGAGAACCAGCAGAAAUUCAUGGGGAAGAGGGGAAGGGAGAGGAAGGAGAAGCUAUAGGCAACAAAUCACCAAAAUAUUCUUCAAUUCAUCAAAAACUAAAGAAAAUUACCAGGCAAAUUAGGUUUAAAUAGUAAAAAUAAAACCAUAAGUAGAAUGAGCUUAAGCCAAUACAAGCCCAAUUACAUAAAUAGAAUCUAAAACAUAAAUAAAAUCCAAUUAGAAAUAAAUAAAAUAGAUGAUGUUUUUAUCAACUCUCCUGGGUGGGAGAAAAACUCAACCCUGUCGAGUUGAAAGAUCACUGUAGACUGUAAUCAAUCUGAAACUCCAAAUGCUUCAAGUCAAGCCAUGGGAGACGAUGUUUCUGACAAACCAAGUACCGAAAUUUCAUGAUUGAUAGUACUAAAAACUGUAGUUUAUUUCCAAGAAUAUGAUAUGGUCAAGGGGGGCGGUCUUUCCUUCUAACCAAGUACCGAUACUGGACUCCAAAUAAUCAAUAUUCAUGCACCUCACCUUCAAAAUUUUCACAUGAUUGUACAUAAUGAAGAGCAUAAGAAGCACGUUGAUCUACCCAAUAAACAAGAAAGUACUGAAUCCUGCCAUCAUUGAUCAAUACAACACAUUCAUCUAAAAUAACAUCAAUUUUAUCUUUGUGUGCCGUGACGGAUGGUAUUGAAGUAGAAAUAUCAAUAUAGUCAAGUUGGGGGCCCACAAAGCUAAGUAAAAAUGGAUCAUCAAGUGAAGUAAAAUGGUGUUUGCAAGUAAUGAAGUCCUCAAUAUUUAGAGUAGAAUGAUAGCCAAAAUGUGAUGACAGGUUAAUGACAUAUGUAUUUGAACCAACAUGCUUUAAAAUUUUACAAGGACCAGCAUUGCAUGCUUGUAAUAUAACAAAAUCCCUGAUAUGAAAUUCAAAAUUUCGCUUAUACAAAUCAGCUCGAAGUUUAUAUGAUGCAUUACUUGCUUCAAGUUAUUUAUUGAUUUCGAUAUGCAAGUCAUGAAGAUAAAAUACAAAUGUUUCAACUGACGACGACACACUAGCAUGCGGGGACAUGGGAAUAAGAUCUAACGGCCGCCUAGACUUAUAACUAUGAACAACUUCAAAUGGAUUUAGGCCUAGAGACCGAUUUUCAGAAUUGUUAUAUGCAAUUUGAACAGUUGGAAGGAUCAAAUUCCAAUUUCCAAGAGUUUCUUGCAAAGAACAUGAUUACACAAAUCAUCAAUACCUUUGGAUGGGAUAAGAGUAGGGUACACAACAUUUGACUAAGAGGUAUCGAGAACAAGGGGUACAAUACCUAGACUUAUAAGAAAAGUCCAAAUAUUAUCUAAAGGGGUGUCCUCACUGUCAUCCAAUUCAUCAAAUUCUUCAAGUUUAGGUCUAUAGAUUUGAUUUUCUAAUCACUCAUCUCUCAUUUUCUUUGGUUCUUCAAUGAAUAAGGCUCGAUUAGAACAUUCAGAAGUCCUUAUAGUUGAAGUACUGCAAAUGAGAAGAAGUUAUUGAAGUUUCAAAAUCUUGACCUUUAUUGUCCAACAGAGGAGCAUUAGAUGGGGGAGGACCUAGAAGCGGCUUAACAGGAGAAGGUGGUGUUGAUGAGACGAAAGGGGGAAUGUCACUACGCCUUCGAUACGAAGAAGAAGGUCUUGGGAUAUCAUGACCUUUACAUUUAUUUUCCCAAAUGGGAUGAACAUUAGACGAGGAAGGCUCUAUGAUGGGCUUAUGACAAGGUGGCGCUAAUGACAUGGGUGAAUGAUGGUGAUCGCGCUUUUCAUAUAGAGUACUAAUAGUUAACUCAUAAUCUCUGGUUAAAGAAUAAGCGUGAUCAAGAAUAGUGACUCCUCGAAAGAAAAGCUCACGCAUAAGAUCAUCUCUUAGAGCUUGGCUAAACCUACUCAAAGUCGUGAUCUCAUCCUCAAUGACAUGACAUUUGGUUCAAAAUUCCUCAAAUUGUGCAAUAUAGUCGGUCACUAACCGAUUCCCUUGUUUAAGAGCAGUCCAUUGAGUAUAAACUUCAAAAUCUAGGCAACCAUCAAAAGUAGGAAUGUCUAAUUUAUUGUCUCUAAAAGAACUUUCCUUAUGAUUGUAUUGAAAAUAUUUUUGAUCACUUUGUCGACGACAAUAUUGUUUAUUGUGGGACGCUUUAGAAUUAUGAACAUCAAUCGAAUGAGGGAUUAGCUUAAAAUUGUUCGGAUUAGCUUAAAAUUGUUCAGACUAGCAACUAGAUCUCUACUCUUUUGACGAGUAGCAGCUAUCUCGAUUUGGAAAACGGCUAAUUGAGUUUGUAAGUGUUGCUGGCUAGUGACAAGUUGAGCUAAUUGUCUAGUGAGUGCCUCAAAUUGUGAAGAGUCCAUGUCUAGGUACUGAAACGAGGAGUAACAAGACGACCAGUCGACCACUAUGCAUGCACUGUACUAGCAGCUAAAUGACGUGCAAUAGAGAGAGAUCAAUGAACAAUAAGUGCAAACAAUGAUAAGUAACAACUUGAGCAUUUUUAUUUUUUUUUUUGAAAAUUAGAAUUUGUGGUUAUGUUAAUCCAAAUGUAACAAGCUAAUAAUGCUGAUUCGAAUAAAAUAAAAGGCAAGAAUACAAAUGACGAAUCAAAAUCUUUAACCCCGUGGGGUAAGCAGGGUAACGUAGGAAAUUAUUCAGUCAACAAUUCCAAUCAAGUGGUGUAAAGAUAAAAUUUAUGAUAUAACAGCAGCACAAAUUUUAAUUGAUGCAAUUUUUAAAAUAAAGUAGUAGUAUAAACCAAUAAUAAAAAGGGUUCAAGGACUCCCAGUUGUUUGGGUGUGACUAUCUAUAUGUCGAUUGAUCUGAAUUGCCGAUUUAAGAGCCCCAACUAUGCUUCUGUUCUUCCCUUCAUGUCCAAUGGUUUUAACCCCUGUUGACUGUAACUUGUGCUGGUUUUGGUGUGGACGUAAAACUAAGUAUGGUGACUGUGGCUUUUAGAUUGUUGAGAUGGACGGGGAAAUAUAUGAGUACGGUAACUGUGGUGGAAGUGUAUGAUCUUGGGUUGGUGGUGGUGGCAUGUGGCGAUGAAGCAGUAGUGCGUUGGAUGCCUGGUUCCAAUAGAUAAUGAAGUAGUAGUGUGGUGGUGAUUAGAGGCGGCGGCGACACGAGAGUGGUUGUGAGAGAGGAAUCGGGUGAAACUGUGGGACUAUUUGAUAUUAAUGGAUUGGUUAUAAUCGGGUUUGGUCGAAUAUGUGGGACUGGGCUAGAUGGGAAGGGGUUUGGAUCGUCUUAUAGAGAUGGGCCAGCUCAAGUUAGUGUUUUGGGAGUGGGCUUGUGUCGUAGAGAGUAGGUUGAGUUAAUUGGGCUAAACGAAAUUGGGUCUUGUGUAAGUACGACUGAAUGCUAGGGUUGGAAUUUGUGGAACAAUACUACAAUUGUAGAGAAGAAACUGCAGCGAACGAGAUUUUUAUUUUUGUGGGUGAAACUGAAAUUGCGGAAAAAAACCUAAACUGAAAUUUUUGCGUGUGAACAAUUCUUUUUUUUUUUUUUUUAAACUGCAGGAAAAUAUCUAAAAAAACUGAAAUUCUAGGUGUGAACAGUACCUGUGAACAAUAACUAUCUUUUUUUUUUUUUUAAAAUCAACUAGAAAGAAAAUUGAACAAGAAAAC